CCUGACAGAAACCAGGAGUUCCCUUUGGCCAGAGGAACCCUAAUCACUGACUGUUACUUGGGCUUCAUGGGGUUCAUCUACACCCUGGUCACUAAGUCAAUCAAGACUACAAGGAUUCCACCUACAAGAAAGUGUGCCAGCUGGUUGUGAAGGUGGUUGAUGAAGUCCCAGCUGGUGGACACCCUGGCCCUGCAGAUCAGCAAGUCACGGCAAGGAGCCCCUGCUGCCCAAAGUGGGCCUGGGCUGCCUCAUCGUCCUCCUGCAGAACCAAAAUGAGGGCAUUGUUGGCCCAAAAACCUCUGGCCAGAUGUGUGCUGUGACUUCUUUGGUCUCCACCCUCCAGGCCACGGCAUCAGGCCCUUACUCUGCUGCCUGGUUCACCCUGUUGUCUCCUCCAGCACUG
This is a long non-coding RNA of Oncorhynchus kisutch (coho salmon), 403 nucleotides long. RefSeq lists it as uncharacterized. Lineage: Eukaryota; Metazoa; Chordata; Actinopteri; Salmoniformes; Salmonidae. The record is from RefSeq and is a predicted model, not a curated record. The transcript is spliced from 3 exons.